This is a long non-coding RNA of Lolium perenne, 1133 nucleotides long. RefSeq lists it as uncharacterized. The record is from RefSeq and is a predicted model, not a curated record. Lineage: Eukaryota; Viridiplantae; Streptophyta; Magnoliopsida; Poales; Poaceae.
CGGAUCGUUGAGGCGAUUCCGCCUAGAUCAAAACAUUCGGCCACCUCCUUCGCACCGCCACACGCGGGAUCCUGCCUGGCCUCCUCCCUCGCCGCCGCGCCACGCCGCGGAUCCCCUUCCUCCCUCGCCGGCGCCGCCGCAAGCCCGAAGCACGCCGCCUACCGCCUCUGCUUUCCUCCCAACGGAGAGCGCGGACCGCCCCCGACGCGGACCCUCGCGGCCUCACCGCCGCCGAGCGCCUACCCGCUCGCAAAUCACCGGCCGUCGCCUAGGGUUCUCCCAUGGCCACCGCCUAGGCCAGCCAACGUCGGAUCCUACCUUCCGCCGCCGCCAACUCGUGGGGUGCGCCGUCGUCUCGUCUGCCGUUUCUUCGCCUUCUCGGUGCGACCAUCGCGCGGGACUCUCCCGUGGGCGUGGGCGUGGGCGGUAUCGACCUCGCGGAGUCGCGGUGCUGUUCACCGAGGGAUUCCCGCCGUCGGGAACCAGCGUCCUUCGCUGGGUCUGCACUCUUCCUUCCGCCGUGAGAAGGCCGCUGGAGUCAGGGUGGUUGGUGACAAAAGGCUCCAUUCUUGAGAUUUGUGCUCUAUCACCGCCUUAUUUCCUCGUGCUCAACGGUUGAAUUUCUCGUAUAAGGAGUCAUAGGAUAUUGUUGGAACGGCACUCGGUAAUAAUCUUCAAACUUAGGUUUGAGGCUGGAAUACUAUUGAGCAUUUUAAGCUCGGUUAUUUGAAUCAAGGUCAAUGUGCGAUGAGAAUGGAACUCUUGUUGUCGUGCUUUUUGAUAUAUCAAGCAUGUCAUCAACAUUAUUUGGUGUCAAAGCUUAUUCACGAAUUAUCCAAAUGUCGUGAAUGGAACUUGGGCUGUCAGUUGACAAAUUGUCAAAAAAAAUCAUGGCAACUUGUGGAAGGAACUUAGAGCUUUAGAUCACAAGGAUGGAAAACCAUUGUGUGAUUCUCACUCUGACAAAUUUCAAGUUCUUUUUGAAAUUUGAUAAGACAUAUCCAGUCUCCCAAGAUGUUUGCAUCGUAAAUGAGGACAGAGUAUUAUACUUGUAAUUUAUUUCUUCUUUAGAUACCUGAUUCUCGUGUAAAUGUACCAUUCUUAUUAUAUGAUAAUAAAGAAACUUUCUGUGA